This 75-nucleotide transfer RNA is filed under the name Metarhizium acridum CQMa 102. RNAcentral describes it as "tRNA-Tyr (GTA) (tRNA-Tyr-GTA-1-1)". It matches the Rfam family "tRNA". Rfam says of the family: Transfer RNA (tRNA) molecules are approximately 80 nucleotides in length. Their secondary structure includes four short double-helical elements and three loops (D, anti-codon, and T loops). The record is from RNAcentral. Lineage: Eukaryota; Fungi; Ascomycota; Sordariomycetes; Hypocreales; Clavicipitaceae.
CUCCGGAUAGUCUAGUUGGUUUAUGGCGUCUGACUGUAAAUCAGAAUGUCGCGUGUUCGAAUCACGCUCUGGAGA